UCCACUUAUUCCCUUCACCACCUAAUUGCCUCUUGUUCCAUUAAACUUAAGCUAACAAACUAUCUCAUAUGAAGGACACAAAUGAUGCAGUUGAUUCAUGUGAUGUGACUAACCUAUAUCAUCAAGGAGAAUGAACCAAUUGCGAGUGGUCAUUCUACUGGAAAGUCUGUUGAGAAAGUCGUGGUUAUAAGUGUUGAGGAUAAUGUAGAAUAUAGUGGUAGUGUUGAUGAUUGUAGGAGAAAUAUGUACUGCUAAGGAACUGGAUCUUAGGCACCUUGAUAGAAGAUGACAUGUACUUUAUUGUGGGUUUCUCAACUACCAAGGAGAUGUGAGAAUGCUUAAAUAAGGCCUAUCUACAAGCAGCAAAGAUAAGGUGUUUUAGCUUAAACAAUAACUGCAAAGUAUAGGCUAGGAACCACGAAAAUUGAUGAUUACAUAAAGAAAUUCAAAGGAAUAUGUGAUGGUCUUGAAGCCAUUCACAAUCCUGAGGAUGAAGAUAGAAAAGUAAUGAACUUUAGGUUUAGGUCUCAAGUACAAUUCCUUCAAGAUUUUCAUGCUAGGUAAUGCACCAUAUUCCACUCUUAAUCAAUUUGUUAAUUCUCUCAAGGUUUUUGAUAUGAAAGAGGAUGAAGAAGAAUUGCAACUACAUAACCUUAACAUGGCAUUCUUUGCCCAAAGGAUAAGGGGAAGAGGAAACUACUCUUAGAAAAGUGGAAACAACAACUUCAACUCCAAAGGAAGGGGUCUCAAACCUGUUGGACAAGGAUCAAAUUAAAUACUUAGAAUAAUCAAAGCUUCUAAAGUAUAAAUAAGGAUAGGAAUACUACCGAGUCGUUUAAAAUUUUUGGUAGAAAUAAUGAUUCUACUCUUAAGUGCUUUUACAGGUGGGACUACUCUUGUCAAUAUGUAGAUGAACUACCACAUGCAUUGGCUGCUAUCAAUCUGCAAAAUACAUCAUCUACAUAUGACACUUUGUAUAUGGACUCAAAAGCCAGUAUUCUAUCUAAUUUAAACACUACAGUGGAUUUUAUAAAAUUGUUGUUGGGAAUGGAUCACAAUUAGACAUAACACAUGUUAGGAAUACAACUAGAUCAUGUUUGAAAUAAGAAAAUGUCCUUGUAGUUUCUAAGAUUGCUGUGAAUCCACUCUCAGUUUGUAAAAUUGCUAAGGAUAAUUGUUGCACUCUUGAAUUUGAUGAAACUAACGUCGUUGUAAAGGACAAGAACACAAGGACAAUACUAACCUAGGGAUCUAAGAGAACUGGACUCUAUGCUUUGACUCCUACACAAGAUUAGAACACAUCAGACAUCAUAGAGCAUACUAUAUUAGGACAUCCUAGUUUAAAGUUGUUAAAAGUUUUAAGUAACAGUAGUUGCAUUAAUGUUAAUAGUUGGAAUAAAAUGCAUAUUGUCUGCAGUUGGACAAAAUUUGUAAACUUCCACUUGACUUGAAGAAUAGAAUUGACAACUAACCUUUAUUGAAAACACAUUUUGAUUUGUGGGUUCCUUCUCCUGUUGAAUUUUUUCAGCAUAUGAAAUAUCAUGUAGUGUUUGUAGAUGAUUACACAAGGUAUACAUAGCUUUAUCCAAUGAAAAAGAUGGUUGAAAUUUUUGAAGUAUUUGUUACAUUUCAGAAAAUUGUGUAAAACAAUUCUCUAAAGACAUUAAGAUGUUCCAGUGUGAUAGAGGUGGUGAAUUAAUCAAAACAUACUUCAUUAAAAUUCUAGAAGAUUGUAGUAUUGUUAGGCACAUUUCAUGUCCUAACACACCUGAAAAAAGGAGUCUCAGAAAGAAAACAUAUGCAUAUUGAUGAGAUUGGAUUAACUAUUCUAAUACGUGCUAAUCUUCCUUUGUUUCUAUGAGUUGAGGCCAUGCACUAUUUUUCAUUAAUAGACUGUCGUACUCAGUUUUAAAGAUGGUUACUCCAUUUGUUAGGCUAUAUGGUGAGAAACCUGAUUAAAACAUCUUAAAGGUGUUUAGGUUUAGGUGUUUCACAUAUAUAAAGGGUAGUACCAAGUUUAGCUUGAAGACCUGCUCUUGUGUGUUCAUAGGAUACAAUAGAUUGCACAGGGGAUACAGAUGUUAUCUUCCCUCAACAAGGGAAGUGUAUGUGUCCAAACAUGUUGAUUUUAUGAAAGAACAUUACCUUUUAUCCUCCAAAUCAAACUUAUACUAAUAUUUAUGUCUCACCUGAUCUAGAUACUUUUGUUGAGUUUUUCUCUUAAUUUCCGGCAUAUGAGGAUACUUAUUCAGGGGAAAUGCUUAUACUGUGUCAACAACUAGUGAGAAUCUUGCAUAUAUUAAAACACAGGUUGUUGAUAAUACACAAGCUACUGGUGAUAAUGUUAUUGAACAUAUAACAACACUCAUGCCUAUUGAUGAUGAUAUUGAUGUUGAACAAUCAGAUGCAGUUUCAGAUAAUGGUGGUAAGGAUCAAGUUAAUCAUGCAGGUUUAGAUAGUGGUGGUCCAUCGAAUCAUACUUCUUUUGUGUCUAGUCCACAAGAGAUACACUAAAAGGUUGAUAUAUUAGUAUGAUAUAUGACUGAGAACCAACAAUCUAGAGAAACUACACUAUAACUAGCUGCCUCACUUGAUACAUCUCAUAUACCACAAGGCAUCACAUGACUACUAAACACAAGGAAAAGGUUCAUCACUUAUCUCUAGUUCCUAAAAACAAAGAAGAGAUUGUGAGAGAACCAAAAACUACUAAUGAGGCACUAGAGUCACCACAUUGGCUUGCAGUUGUGCAGAAGAAAAUCAAUGUUUUACAUAACAACAAGACAUGGACAUUAGUGCCUAAAUCGGCUGGUAUGAACCCAGUUAGUUCAAAAUGGGUGUCCAAGACCAAGUUGAAGAAAAAUGGAAUAGUAGAUAGAUACAAAGAAAGACUUGUUGCUAGGGGUAUUUCACAGCUUGAAGGGAUAGAGUUUGAAGAAACAUUUGGCCAUAUAGUCAAGGCCACAACUAUUAGGGUGGUUUUAUCAGUUGCUAUUAGCUCUAAGUUGGAAAUAAGGCAACUUGAUGUCAAAAAUUAAUUCCUACAUGGUCUUUUGGAAUAAGAGGUAUACAUGAGUUAACCUCUUGGAUUUAUUGACUCUAAAUAUCCUCACCAUGUUUUUCUGUUAAAGAUGGCAUUGUAUGGCCUUAAACAUGCAUCAAGAUUUUGAUAUGAUAGAUUUAGCAUGCAUCUCCUACACCUUGGCUUUACUUAUAGUAAGGCAGACCCCUCAUUGUUCACAUUGCAAACUCAUAAAGGUUCAAUAUUCCUCUUGUUGUAUGUAGAUGACAUUAUUGAAAUAAGAAGUAACCAAUUACAUGUCUUUGAGUUGGUUUUACAACUUGGAAGAGAGUUUGUUAUGAAGGAUCUCUGUCCUAUACAAUUCUUUCUUGGAGUGGAGGUCAAAUAUUUUAUGGGAGGAGUUUACUUGAGUCAGAGUAAGUAUGCCGCUGCCCUACUUAACAAGACUGAUAUGAAAUUGUAAAAAGUUAUAGCUACUCCUUAGGAAAAAUUGCUUGGUCAAAAUAAAGGGGUUGGAAGUCUGUAGAUGCCUCUUUGUACAUAAGGAUAGUAGGUAGCCUCUAGUAUUUGACACUCCCAAGGCCUGAUAUCACUCAUGUAGGCAAUCUAGCCAGUCAGUUUAUGCAAUGUCUUAAUAAUGAACACAUUCAAGGAGGUAGAAUGAUUCUCAGGUACAUCAAAUGUACUCUACAAUUUGAACUCAAACAGUCAAACUUAUCUCAUAAUCACCUUGUAUGUUGUAUGGAUAUUCAGAUACUCAUUUGGUUGUGAGGAUGCAUUACCACUCCGAGAUCCACUACAGGCUAUAGCAUCUUCCUAGGUGCAAAUCAUUUUUCUUGGAUUUCCUAGAAACAGCCAAUAGUAGCAAGAUCAAGUGUUGAAGUUGAGUAUAGAUCACUAACCUUUACUGCAACAGAGAUGACAUGGAUCAUCUACCUACUUCAUGAUGUUAGAGUGUACCUCAACACAAUGUCUACAUUGUAUUGUUAUAAUUUGAGUGCUUUGUACAUGAAAGUUGAUGUGAGGCCAAAUAUAUAUAUUUUUAAUCAUUAUUUGUCUCACAUUUAUUAUUUGUAUUUAUCCUUUUUAAGUAUGAAUUUUAUGGAUUGUGCUAAAUAAUGUAUUUUAUUUGUAGGAGUAAAUUGGUGUAAUGCUGAAGAAGUUUGGAGCUAAAACAAAUUAAAGAUGGAAGGUUAAAGAAGGAAAUCAAGCAAGCAGCGUAAUGGAUUAAAAGUUAUAAAAUAAUACAUAAGUUAAAUUGCAAUUCUGCUGCCAUGUGUAAGAAUCUGCAGAUAGGCACAAAAUUUUGAACGCAUAGCUUCACGCGGAAAAUAAAAAGGAAUUCAACUCUGUUUUGGCUUUAGGUUCCUAAUUUGAUUUGGACUUAGUUAUUUUAUUUAGGAUUUUCUAGAUCUAUAAAUAGUUCAAAAAAAUAAUUAUAGAAGAAAAAAAAAAUAUAUAGGGCAUCAAGUAUAAAGUUGUCAAUACUUUUUAGGGUUCUUUACUUCUUCUUUUCUUAGACAUUAGUAGCUAAAGACCCUUGUUAUGGGGCUGCAACUAUGGUUAAUUGUUGAACAUAGAUUUUUUUGAAUUAAUAUUGGUUAUCACUUAAAUCACUUUUGUAUUCUUAUUUUAGUAUUUCAUGCUUGAUCACCAUAGAGAUAAAUAUAUUGCCUAUUCUUGGACUCGGGAGAUGAUAUGGUAGAUAGACCAAAGAAUACAAAAGGCUUGAUCUUCCAUUAAAUUGAGUUGAUUUGUGUUAGUAGUGACGCACGGACGAACACCUAUCUUGGUUAAAAAACAGGAUGAAAUAUAAAUGCUGGCCAAUUAGGACUGCUUAUCCCCACUCAACGAUGUAGUUAUACAACUAAUUGGGGUAGGCGAUUAGAGGUCGGGAGACCAUGAUCAUAAAGUAAACCUUGUAAAUCAGUAAUUUGAUAACCAUAAUUACUUCAUGUAUGAGGUGUGAUAAAUGAAACCCUAUACAUGUUGCAACCCUGGGAUUUUCCAAUCACUGUAAGUAAUUUUAUUUUUAAUUCCUACAUUCUUUUCUUUACAAAUAAAAAUCAAACAGUUUUGGCACUCUUAAAUAAAUAAUUAGACUAGUAUAAUUUAGUAAAAAUUGUUAAUCGACAAGUCAUUUGGGUUCGAUAAUCUGAUUCUUUUAAGAGCCACUAUUACUUGCGCGACCACGUACACAUGCGUGGGCAAUUGGGAGCAACAAAUUUUUGGAGCCGCUGCUGGGGACUUAUAAAUUAACUAUUCUUCUAGUUUAUAUUUUUUCUUUUUAUUUAUUUAUUUAUUUAUUUAUUUAUAUUGAUACAUAGUUUUUUAUAUUAAUUAAUACUCUUCGUGGGAUGAACGGGAAUGAUGAUUAUUCAUGUGUGGUAAGACCUUGUCCUUAUUGCAAAGGAGCCCAAUUUUGGCAACAAUGUCAAUAUAUUUCUGAGGCAGAAUUGUGUGUACCAUCUUUAUCCUAUAGCUUUGUAGUGAUUUUUGGGUCGGUUGUACCGUGUUUUGCUACCCUACUCCAAAACCCUACCAUGAUGAUUCUAAUAAUCUUUGUUCCUUUGAUAGUAUGGAAUCUUGCAGGAAAUUAAUAGAGGAAUAUGAAGAGCGUCGUAGGAGAAUCAUAUAUGUAAUGUCAUACCUUAUAGAUAGAAAAAUGAAGCAUUUUCAAGAUGUUUAAUUUUUUUUUUGCAUACUCAAAAUUUAAGCAAUGAAUUGAAUGCAAAGGUUGCUGCGUUAGACGUUCAACAAUCCAAUUAUGAGUUUUGUGAUACUGAAAAGGCACUCAGAAGUCAAAUAGAGGUUCUAAAAUGGGAGGAGAUACAAUGCAAUCAGACUUUUCUUGAAGGUUACACGUUUGAGAAAGAGUACAAAAAUGAGAAUGUUGUAAAUAAUGUUGCUUUGGAGUCGAGGCAACUUGAAUCUCAUUCAAAACACUUUUCUAUAUUAUGCUUAGAUGGCGACAUGAAAAUCGAGUCAUCUGAACUAAUGAAUGAGUGUAUAGAUGAGGAACAAAGCCCCUACAUUAUAAUGUUUUUUAGUCCACGUAGACAACGACAUUCCUCACAUAAGGGUCAACAAAUGCAAGAUGCAACAUAUAUUACUUAGUUCCUUUAUCUUUAUACCACUGCCCCUACAGAGGAGCAGAAAAAUUGAUGCAAAGUUAGGGGUAAAAUUCAUAAGUUCAAAGUGGAAAGAAAAGUGGUGAAUUUAUUUGUGUCGUGCCGCGACAUUAAAUUAGGCGCUUAUUGGGCGGCAACCCAAUUACUAGUGUCACUUUUUUUGUUUUUUUGUCUUGUUUUUGUAGAUUAGGGGAAGUCUGAGUACCCAAAAAUUUGAAGCGAAGGAACACGUUUGAGUUUAAGUGUGGGGUGCGUACGACCUUUCAUGAAAAUUAAGAGAACAUGCUACUAGCUAGGCCUUAAGGCCUCAUGGAGUUUUCCUAACCCUUGUUUUAAAUUUUAUUUGACUUUUGGGGGGCAUAUCACCUUUUUUAAGUGUGGGGGUGGAGGAAUGAAUUCCUAGUUUGUACUGUUUUAUUGUGUCUUUUCUAUAUUUAGGAUGGGUUCCUUGACUUUUGCUUUCGAUUCUUAUCCCGAUGAUAGUCCCUCUGAACCAAGUGUCUUUAAUUUUUUUAGGAAUAAUUUUUUUUGAGAGAAAAGAAAAGAUCAUUUUGAGUGGUGUGAUACUUGCUAUUUAGGCCUGAUUUUUGAGUAGUGAUUUCUUGUGAAUGCUUGAUUGAUAAGGAAAUUGCAGACUCCGUUAUACCGAGGCUCAUGGUUGUGACUUUGUAUAUAGCUUAUUUUAUUUUGUAGUUUGUUAUGAUUCUAUCUCUCUUAAAAGUGAAAUUGAUCCAUCUUGAUUGAUACUUGUUCUAUGUGUGGUGAGAAUUUGCUUAUUCCAUGUUUCGCAUCUUAGUCUAAAACAUGCACUGCAUGUUAUUGAAGCGAAAUAAAAAGUGUUGCUUUGUUUAGGAGAUGAUAAUAGGCUUUCUUUGAUUUGUCUUGUAAAUUUUAGCCUUUUCAGAUAUUAUAUCACUAGUUAGCCCUUUUGAGCCUGUAACCUUUUGUUGGUAGCCAUAUUUUGCCCUUUACUAUUUUUGAAUCCCUAAGUUGAAUCCCUAGUUUUUGCACCUUGCUUCCUUGAGGAUUGUAGCAUAGACUUAUUCUAAUUAUCAAUUUUGAGAAAAAGGGAUGGUUGAGUGAAAAGGUAAUCAAUGAUAGCUACAAAGUGCUUAAAAAUCUCUCUUUGAAAGAAUGUGAUACGAAAAAAAAAGAAAGAGAACAAAAGAAUGUGACAUAAAAAAAUCCUUUGAAAAAAUAAGAGAAAAAAUGAUUGAAGCAUUCUUGAGAUGAUGAGAAUUACUUGUGAAAUAAUUGUUGAAGAGAGGGCUAAAAAGAAAGAGAAGAAAAUAAUGGGUGAUGCAGUCUAACUUAAGGAAGUGUAAGUCACUAUUAUAUAGUUUUUCUACCCGUUAAAGUUUUGAUUCUAUUCAAGCAUCCUUAAUUAGUUACAUAAUGGCCAAGCCUAUGGUUCUUUGUCCAUAUAUGUGAAUUGUAUUUCUGAGUGUGAGUUGUUCUUUGAUGCUAAGUCCUUAAUUUAUAUUCGAUCUUUUGAAUUGAGUGUGUGGACUAUUUUUUCUUGUGAGGGCACUUGUUUCAUGAUGGAUAUGUGAUUCUAUUAACUUUCUUUGAUGAGAGUAGGUGAGCAAGCUUAAAUUUUAUGAGUUCAAAGUCCUUCCUUGAGGUUAGGAGGUUAGAGGCUUGUUGUUUAUUUGGAUGUGUUGCAUAAUGAGCAGGAAUUGAACUUGAUGUUUUGAAAUUCGUAUAUGGUCUAAUUGUUUGUAUCUACUAAAGUGAUGACAUUCCUAGUAUGAUUUUUUGAGAUGAGCUUUAAUGUUUGAUCGAAGACGAGCAAAAGUUUAAGUGUGGAGUGUUGAUGUGAGGCCAAAAAUAUAUAUUUUUAAUCAUUAUUUGUCUCACAGUUGUAUUUGUAUUUAUCCUUUUUGAGUAUGAAUUUUAUGGAUUGUGCUAAAUAAUGUAAUUUAUACAUAGGAGUAAAUUGGUGUAAAGUUGAAGAAACUUGGAGCUAAGCCGAAUUAAAGAGAGAAGGUUGAAGAAGGAAAUCAAGCAAGCAACUUAAUGGAUUAAAAGUUAUAAAAUAAUACAUAAGUUAAAUUGGAAUUACAAUUGCAAUUCUGCUGCCACGUGUAUGAAUUCGAAGAUAGGCACAAAAUUUGGUAUGCACAGCUUCACGCGGAAAAUAAAAAGAAAUUCAACUCUGUUUUGGUUUUAGGUUCCUAAUUUGAUUUGAAAUCAGUUAUUUUAUUUAGGGUUUUCUACAUCUAUAAAUAGUUCAGAGAAAUAAUAAUGGGAGAGAAAAAAAUAUAAGGGAUCAGGUAUAAAGUUGUCCAUACUUUUUUGAGAAAGAAGUUGUCCAUACUUUUUAGGGUUCUUUUCUUCUUCUUUUCUUAGAUAUUAGUAGCUAAAGAGCCCUGUUUUGGGGCUGCCACUAUGGGUAAUUGUUGAACACCUAUUGUUUUGAAUUAAUAUUGGCUAUCACUUAAAUUAUUUUUGUAUUCUUGUUUUAGUAUUUCAUGCUUGAUUACCAUAGAGAUAAAUAUAUUGUCUAUUCUUUGACUCGGGAGACAAUAAGGUCGAUAGACCAAAGAAUACAAAAAGCUUGAUCUUCCAUUAAAUUGAGUUGAUUUGUGUUUAGGAGUGACUUUCAGACGAACACCUGACUUGGCUACAAAACAUGAUUAAUUGAGUCUCAUCUAUCGAAAACAACAUUUCUACCUCACAUAAGGUAGAGAUAAAGUCUGCAUGCAUUCUACUCUACCAUAUCUAAACCCUAUUUAUGGGGUAACAUUGUGUAUAUUGUUAUUUGAAACGUGUAGUGUAAUUUCUCUUUCUUUCAUAAACUCUCAAAAGGUCCAUUAAGGUUCAUAUAUUAAAUAGGACACUUCAUAACUAAAGCCCCUCUUCCACAAGUAUCCUUCCUUUGCAAUACAAUAUCUACUCCCAUUUUUCUCCAUGGAAAAUCUUUAACCAUAGAAAUAGAAAAAAGGAUUUUCCUGAAUUGUGGAUUAGGAACUAAGAAGGCGAUUGGAAGUUUCUCUAAGCAGUUGCAAUGACCAAGUUGAAACCUUUGGUUUUUCUUUUAUCAAGAAAUUUGUAGAUGGAGAUAACAAAAUACAAGGUCAAUACAAGCCGAGCAUACAUGAGGAUACUCUAAGCUACAAAGCAGAGCCCUAUUAAUCAAUAUAUGCUUCUGACUCAGAUCCCUAUACAUUUACAUAUUAAGCUGAACACCUUUUCUUUUGAUAAGGAAGGUAAUGUGUGUUAUAUUGAUUGUCAAGCUAUAACUAUUUAAAAAAUAAAACGGAGUUCCAUAUUUUCCACAUUUAGACGAAUUAAACUUAACCCAAAAUCAUGAAAGGAAACAUGUAGGCUAAAACUAUUAUCAUCCAAUUAGACAUAACUUAGAUCUCGUUAAAUUUACUUCCUACUCCAAUUACCUAAUUCUAUUCACUUUAACUAAUUCUCUACUACAAUGAAAUAUUCGGCAAACUAAAUCAAAAGAUAAAACUAAAGGAGUAUAAAAAUCCUAGAAAUAAUAAGAAAACUAUGCAAGUCAUAACCAAUAUAGUAGAAUACUUUCUAUAACUGUUGCGAGAAUAUCAAAAUUGAUGUGUCUAACUAUUAAUUAGAUUGUACUAUCUUUUCUUCAUAGUUCCCAUAACAUAGAAUAGAUAAACUUCCUCAUAAAACUAUGAAGUAUGGGUAAUAAUAGCACAAAAUUACUGGUUUUCCACAACAAAGAAGGGAAAAAAUGAUAAACAAUAACCUGCUAAAAGAAGUAGACCAAUUCUAGCCCGAAAUUUUCAAUCACAGACAAGGAAUAUACACCAAACCACUGAAUAUAUACAUGUUUACACUCUUUUACAAUUAUGAGAAUCCAUCAAGAAUUGACACAUUUCACAAUGUCUACAAGUUUAAUUCAACCCUCAUCCUUUAUUUAGAUUUGAUACAGGAAAUGCGAGCGAGCUCACACAUGUGGACACUCUUUUAUUAUUUGUCAUGAUUAAUUUGUAUGUAUCUAAACCAUUUUUCAGAAAGAGUAUCAAAAGACUUCUAACUUUCUCAUUUUUCAUUUGUAAUAAACCAUCCAUACAAAAACUACAAAAGGAGAAAACUUGAAAUGGGCAGUGAAGAAAGGAAGAAAGUUUACUCACCGCAGGUUUUCCAGGGAUAGAACAAUGCCACACCAUCAAAUUAACAGACCCAUCUGGACCAGUUUCAGGCCUAGCCACAAAUCC
RNAcentral lists this long non-coding RNA (10349 nucleotides) under Solanum tuberosum (potato). Its description in RNAcentral is "long non-coding RNA (STUB_LNC007391)". Lineage: Eukaryota; Viridiplantae; Streptophyta; Magnoliopsida; Solanales; Solanaceae. The record is from RNAcentral.